CUAGAUUUAGUUGGUUCUUCAGUUUCCUUUGACUGCGAAGAAAAGUCAGUAAUCUCUGAUUUUCAUUUUUAUUAUUAAAAAAAAAAUGUAUAGAUUUUGAGAUUUAGGGUUCUUGUACUCUUCAAAUCUAUUCCACUUCAAUGCUCUCUCAAUCUUUUUACUGGCAAUUGAAAGAUUUGAGCUUGUAAUUGCUGUUCAGCUUUGUGGGUUUUGAGCAUGGAUGAUGAGAAAGUACAAAGUGGUGGUUCAGAGAAAACAAUUUCUCAGAAUGAUGCUGAUGCUCUGAAGAGAUGUUUGGAAGAAAACAAAGACGAUAGUUCAAAAUGCAAGGCUCUGGUUGAAGCAUUCAAGGAUUCAGCUUAUUCCUCUUCUUCUACUAAGAAGCCAUGCACACCAAUUAGCCUCGGUCGUGGUUAUUUGACUGAUGUAUGACGAUUUGGAUGAUUUGGGGUAGCCCAUCUUGUUCAUACAAUAGUGAUGUUGAAUUGAAGAGGAAUUUUUUCCUUUUAUCUGUUUGGCUCCAAAGAAAAUGAUUCUUUGAGAAAUUUGUCCUUGGGAAAGAUGAAUUUGGUUAUCAGAAGAUUGUUUCUUA
Molecule: long non-coding RNA, 592 nt
Organism: Vitis riparia (riverbank grape)
Lineage: Eukaryota; Viridiplantae; Streptophyta; Magnoliopsida; Vitales; Vitaceae
Exons: 2
Source: RefSeq, a predicted model, not a curated record